GCUGUGCGAGGUGGGGCACGCCUGUAAUCCCAGCAGCUAGGAGGCAGAGGUAGGAGGAUCACAAGUUCAAAGCCAGCCUCAGCAACUUAGUGAGGCCCUAAGAAAUUUAUUGAGACCCUCUCUCAG
This 126-nucleotide small RNA is filed under the name Marmota monax (woodchuck). The record is from RNAcentral. Lineage: Eukaryota; Metazoa; Chordata; Mammalia; Rodentia; Sciuridae.